Maniola jurtina (meadow brown) is the source of this 3548-nucleotide long non-coding RNA. RefSeq lists it as uncharacterized. Lineage: Eukaryota; Metazoa; Arthropoda; Insecta; Lepidoptera; Nymphalidae. The transcript is spliced from 2 exons. The record is from RefSeq and is a predicted model, not a curated record.
AGGUAACAUCUUAAAAAAACAAAUAGUGUAAGUUCUGUGAUUAUUUUUUUUAGAUUGAAUACAAGGAAUUAUACUGACAGUAACAUUUUUAUAUUAAGUAUAGAAUAUUAAAUUAAUCAGUUAACUUUAAAUUCUACCAUUUGGGUAGAAUUUAAUCUUACUACGAAAAAAGCAAUUUACGUGUAAAAAAUCAACGGUACCUUUUAAAAAUCAACAUUUAAAACUAAUAUUUUGGUAGGAACUUUAAUAAAAUUAAAAAAAAUCCCAAUGUGUGAAAAACAUCUGUAGGUUUUUUUUUAAAUAGUAUAAAAUUUCUACCGGCUACCUGUAGAAAUUAUUAAAUAGAUUGUUACCAAAUGAGAUACAUUUUGACUAUUCAAUUAUUCAAAAGAUCUUUUAAGAAAUCUUACUUGUACAAGCAUUUUUUGUGGUCGAAUUUUUAGUUUGGGGCUUCCAUUAUAGUAUAUCAAAACCAAUUUAAACUUUUUUAAACAUUUUGUUUCCGACAUAUUAGAAAAAAAUUGCUAUGGCUUUGAAAUCAAGUCUUUUAAGCCUAAAAAUGCAUUUUUAUUAAGUGUUGCCAUAAUAUAAGAUUUUUAUGUUAUAUUUUCUAGUGUACUUAUACAUUUAUGGAAUAUUUUUGCAGUGCAUCGCUUAUUAAUCAUGAUCCUUAGAAAACCCUUCGACUUAACCACUACAUUAUAAUAACUAAUUCUCGAAUACUAAAUCAUUGGUUUACACUAUCGGCCAAAAAAUUAACACACAUUUCUAAAAACCUACCAUAUUUAGAGUAUACACCAAUAACUUUUCAUUAUUUUCAUUUUCACUUUCAUUUUGCUUUUCAUUUCAUUAGCAUAAAAAAUCGGGUCAAUUGUAAUUCAAUACUUAACGCAUUUAAACAAUUUAAUGUUUAAAAAAAAUUUUAUCAAGUUUUCAAAAAUAUCCAUUAUCUAUAGAAAUAGCAAUUAAUAAUAAUAAUAAUUGGUCAUAAUAUUAUUUAUUAGAGUACAUGUGAUGCGCGGCUUUGCCAUGCAGUUGAGUUAUUUGUAACUUAAGUAUAACGUUCACACAUUGAUUCAUAUUCUCAAGUAAUAAAGUUAAAAAAAACCCGGACACCUAUUUUUGUGGCGUAGGUCAAGAACAAUGCAUUUUUCCAUAUUUAAAUAACUUUAAAUAUGCAAAAAAGUUUGCUUGUCACGAAUACUAAUAAAGUUGCAUUAUUUUGAAUAUAAUAUAAUUAAUUAUACUACUUUCAAACAGAUUAGGAGAAUGCAUAGUUUUUAUACUAAUAAUACUUAUAUUGCAAGUUGAAAAUUAAUUGAUAAACUAAAUCUAAAGCUAUGGCUGAAAUUAGCCUCUUUGUAGUAGAUUAUCGAUAUAAAUUUUAUUUAGUGCAUCCUUACAAUUCUAAAGACAAUUUUAUGUUAAACGAUUCAAUCUUUCUUCAGAGUUUAAUUCUCUGUACCUUACCUGUUAGUCAGUCAAGCAACUAUAAAAUACACCAACAACUUUUUAACUACCAUAAUUUGUUUACUUUAAUUUAAAAAUGUAUAGGCAAAACGAGAUAAUCCAUAAGAUAAUUGAAAUGAAUAAACUGCCAUCCUACUUCUGAUGUAGGCACUUCUAAUGAUUAUUAAGAUUGAAGCAUGAUCUAACCACUAGUAAACCUGGAUAAUAACUCAGUGGAUUCCUCAGAAUAGCAACCUUUAGAUUAACCGAGCCUUCGUGGGCGCACUAACGAUAUUUUGGACUAUCAAAUGACAUUGAACUACCCUGAACAACAACCAUGAUAACUCUCAGACACUGCACGUGAAAACUACCAGCGUACCUAGGUAAACCUAAUCUAACCUACCUAGACCGGCUCCUCCGACCCUACACCGGUCCCAAACCAACCAUCUAACCUAACCACCACAAUAACAACUCGUCCAACCAACAGCACCACUUUAGGUAACCACUACCCUAAAACCUACAGUACGACACACCGUAUCUACUGAGAACCUCCUCGGAUCGAAGCCAGAACAAGAAUUAAUCGCCAAUCGCUACGCUAAUAUUCUGAUAAUCAAAUGCGAGAGUGAAAUCUGAACACAGCAACGCGUGCCGACCAAAAUCCAACUCUGACAGUGACAGCUAAACAAAUAUGGCUGAGUACCUUCACGUAACGUUACUUUUCAUGGAGUCGUCUAUGACAUUAAAACCUCUUUUUAAUAUUGACUCGACGACAAAUGUUUUGUUUUUAGUUUGUUUUGUUUUCAAAAUAUAAAUGUGUAGAAAUACUGUAUCUACUUACGCUACGAAUAACUAAGUAAUGUCAACGCCGCGCGUCACAUGUAUGAUUACAAUAUUUUGAAAAAUUAUCUGGUUUUUUUAAAAUCAAUACUUUAUCUAUUUAAAUUUUUUUUAAGGGCUUAUAAACGUGUUAAGUAUCGAAUUCAGCAAAGUAGAUUUUUUAUGGUAAUUAACAAGUGGUGCAUAUACUAUAAGAUAACAUUUAAACUGUUAAACCAUCACAGGUAAAUUAUCAGGAAUCUACUAUAAAAACGAAUUUUUUUCUUUUUAAUUUAUUAUUAAUAUUAUCUAAAGAAGAUAACUUGAAAUAAAGCAUUUUAAAACGACACUCCAUUUUUCUGGCCAGUAGUGUAAACCUACGCCUAACCUAUACAAUCAAAUGUAAUGUAAUAGGCAAUAAAUAUGCUACAAGAGUUGAAAUGGAAAUAAUAUUUAGCCACACCGUCUCUACAACACUUUGAGCUUCAUGUCAUUGAAAAAUCAUCUAUCAGUUUACUCAACAAUAUUGAAAAAAAAUCCAAAUAUCACAUGUGGAUGUCAUCAAGUCUUAUUUAAGACAUUAGGUUCGUACAAAAAUGCCAAAAACAAUUACUCAGCAUCAAAAUAAUCAAUUAUAGUCUGAUUUUUUAAUUCCGUGGAAUUCUGACGUUUCGCAAUGUUAGAGAUAAAACAGUUCUGACUAAAAAGAUGUUACCUUUUUUGUAAUCAUUCAAAUGAAAUAAAAAUGAGGCCAUGGAUCAAAUUUAUAAAAACCUAAGCUUUAAUUUGUUAGUUAAUAAAGCACUAUUUCAAUUUCAAGUGACACGUUUUCUUUCUUACUAAAAAUAAAGCAUUAUUUUCGACACUUGCAUAAAUUAAAAAAAAAAUGUUGAUUAAGUUUUACAAAAGUCUCUAAGUAUCUAUUGAAUAAAUUAUUUUUGAUAUGCCGAGGGUUUAGGUUAAUUUAGGGUAAAAUCGAACCUCAGAUGGCAACCCUGUUUUUCAUACAUUUGUAUGAAAUGUAUGAAACCAACCCACCCAAUGCAUAAAAUGACAACUGUCAGAAUUCCACUGAAUAUACAGUCAGACUAUGGAUCAGCUGUUUUGAGGCCGUCAUUUUAUAUCAAGAUUUUAAAGUACCAAGUAUAAUUAAUAGUGCCAUAGAUUAAAAGCUGUAUUUUUUACUAAUUACGUACAAUAAUCCGCUUCUCAGUACAUCUCCUCUUUAAUGGUAUCCAGCAAAGCGGAGAUGUCUUUAGCGGACCAAUCAGAUUUUAAUGAAA